CGUGAGACGGGCGAGGUAGAGGGUGUGUAGGGUAGGGGGGGGGCGAUAAUGGGAAUUACGGGGCGUAAAGCGGGCGCGGGCGGUGUGGUAAGACAGGUGUGAAAGCCCCGGGCGUAACCUGGGAACGGCGCUUGUGACUGCACAGCUAGAGUAGGGAAGAGGGGGGUGGAAUUCCUGGUGUAGCAGUGAAAUGCGUAGAGAUCAGGAGGAACAUCGAUGGCGAAGGCAGCCCCCUGGGCCUGUACUGACGCUCAUGCACGAAAGCGUGGGGAGCAAACAGGAUUAGAUACCCGGGUAGUC
Molecule: ribosomal RNA, 300 nt
Filed under: uncultured bacterium
Lineage: Bacteria
Description: partial 16S ribosomal RNA
Rfam family: Bacterial small subunit ribosomal RNA (bases 52-300)
Source: RNAcentral